RNAcentral lists this small nuclear RNA (104 nucleotides) under Prolemur simus (greater bamboo lemur). The record is from RNAcentral. Lineage: Eukaryota; Metazoa; Chordata; Mammalia; Primates; Lemuridae.
GCAUUCACUUUGGCAGCACAUACUCUUAAAUUGAAAUGACAUAAAGAUUAGCAUGGCCCCUGCACAAGGAUGGCAAGCAAAUUCAUGAAGCAUUCCAUAUUUUC